Physcomitrium patens is the source of this 204-nucleotide non-coding RNA. Lineage: Eukaryota; Viridiplantae; Streptophyta; Bryopsida; Funariales; Funariaceae. The record is from RefSeq and is a predicted model, not a curated record.
GUCGCUGUUGCUCCCCUAUGAGGUCUCUUUUCCAGCAACUGUUGCUGCUCUCGAUCGCCCGCUCUUCGCCGCUUUCGUCGAGCGUCGUCUGUCAGCAUGCCUUCCCAAAAGACUUUCAGGAUUAAGAAAAAGUUGGCGAAGAAGCUUAGGCAGAAUCGCCCUAUUCCUCACUGGAUCCGCAUGCGUACCGAUAACACCAUUCGG